Molecule: long non-coding RNA, 227 nt
Filed under: Callithrix jacchus (white-tufted-ear marmoset)
Lineage: Eukaryota; Metazoa; Chordata; Mammalia; Primates; Cebidae
Description: lncRNA (ENSCJAG00000080306.1)
Source: RNAcentral
UCUACACCACAAGGACCAGAUUCUCCCUAGAAAAGAGAGCCGUGCUUGUUUGCCGUCAUUCAUCCAGCAGAGGUCUCUCUUGCCCACCAUAUGCUUGUGUGUGUGUAUUCAGUACCAGGGGCGGGACUAUGAGGCUGCAGAAUGAAGAAAUACGGACAAAGACUUCAGGCCUGAGGGACUAAGGAGAGAAGAAUCUGUGGCUUCGGAGACACCAAUUACAAGUUCUG